CGAGCACAAAUUUUCCCCUUCGCCGCACACAUAGCAGUGCGCAGGGAGUUUUCCUGGUCAGCUACAUUGAGUCGAUCUGAGUUGUUGAGCCGAGCUGAUUUCAACCCGAGCCAAGCUGCCUGCACCAAGCUGAGCCGAGCCAUUUUUGGAGUCGAGUCGUUUUCUGAGCCGAGCCAUUUUUCGAGUUGAGUCGUUUUCUGAGCCGAG
RNAcentral lists this long non-coding RNA (207 nucleotides) under Carica papaya (papaya). RNAcentral describes it as "long non-coding RNA (CPAP_LNC003185)". Lineage: Eukaryota; Viridiplantae; Streptophyta; Magnoliopsida; Brassicales; Caricaceae. The record is from RNAcentral.